RNAcentral lists this ribosomal RNA (465 nucleotides) under uncultured Klebsiella sp. RNAcentral's name for it is "bacterial SSU rRNA". It matches the Rfam family "Bacterial small subunit ribosomal RNA", at positions 338 to 795 of the family's 1533-position model. The record is from RNAcentral. Lineage: Bacteria; Pseudomonadati; Pseudomonadota; Gammaproteobacteria; Enterobacterales; Enterobacteriaceae.
CCUACGGGAGGCAGCAGUGGGGAAUAUUGCACAAUGGGCGCAAGCCUGAUGCAGCCAUGCCGCGUGUGUGAAGAAGGCCUUCGGGUUGUAAAGCACUUUCAGCGGGGAGGAAGGCGUUAAGGUUAAUAACCUUGGCGAUUGACGUUACCCGCAGAAGAAGCACCGGCUAACUCCGUGCCAGCAGCCGCGGUAAUACGGAGGGUGCAAGCGUUAAUCGGAAUUACUGGGCGUAAAGCGCACGCAGGCGGUCUGUCAAGUCGGAUGUGAAAUCCCCGGGCUCAACCUGGGAACUGUAUUCGAAACUGGCAGGCUAGAGUCUUGUAGAGGGGGGUAGAAUUCCAGGUGUAGCGGUGAAAUGCGUAGAGAUCUGGAGGAAUACCGGUGGCGAAGGCGGCCCCCUGGACAAAGACUGACGCUCAGGUGCGAAAGCGUGGGGAGCAAACAGGAUUAGAUACCCGUGUAGUC